RNAcentral lists this long non-coding RNA (200 nucleotides) under Elaeis guineensis (African oil palm). RNAcentral's name for it is "long non-coding RNA (EGUI_LNC030487)". Lineage: Eukaryota; Viridiplantae; Streptophyta; Magnoliopsida; Arecales; Arecaceae. The record is from RNAcentral.
CUUCAAUGUAGAUUCUAUCAAACCCGAAAUAACGGUGGUUGUUCUGAUUUUCUUUAUUAGUUAUAGACAAUGGGUGACCGGUGAGCCUGAUCAACAUUAAGAACUCGCAUCACGACAACAAUUGUAUUCUAGAAGGACUUAAUUAAUUAGAAAAAAUUCUGACAUUUAAUGCUUUCUAUUGUUCCAAUUUUACAAUCUAU